AAUAAACACAAAAAAGAGGGUACGGGUUCCCACCCAGAAAGUUAAGGACCUGCAGAGCUCCCCUUCCCCAAAUGAGCAAUCUGCUCAACCAAUGGGGGCACCAUUGGUCCAUCACUCUACCAGGGCCAUACACCCAGACCAUCACCAUAUGGCCUCAACACCUCUGGUCCAUCACCCGGUGGUGGCCAUGCAGCUGGCCCCCCAGCUACUGGGGUCAGUCCACCUGACAGCGGAAAAGCAGUUUGCCUGGUGCCAUACAGGAGAGAUGCAGGCAUAUCAUCUGACAAGAGCAACAUCCCCGCAGCAGAAAAUGCAUGGACGCCAUGUGAUGGACAUAGGGGGAGGUCGAAAAAAUCCUACAUGAAAAGAGAAGGAUUGAUGAAGUCAUCUCGAGAAUAGAUCCAAGCCAGGUCAGAGAGCUUCAGACUCUUUGCAACCUCAUUGGAGAGAGGCAUCACGACAGCCCGUCUUCACCAUCGGGCCAGCAGGAGCUCUUUCCUG
Sphaeramia orbicularis (orbiculate cardinalfish) is the source of this 501-nucleotide long non-coding RNA. RefSeq lists it as uncharacterized. The transcript is spliced from 3 exons. NCBI's taxonomy places the organism in Eukaryota, Metazoa, Chordata, Actinopteri, Kurtiformes, Apogonidae. The record is from RefSeq and is a predicted model, not a curated record.